AAGUCCAUGUCCUUGAAACUCCAAAAUCCCUUGAAACCACACUAUCUCAACAACAUUCACAGUAGAACCACCUUGAUGUGAAGUGCAAGCAAAGAUAAGACAACCCCACCUCCCAUGCGCCCCCAUCAAAACCAACAUUCUCAUUCAACUCCCUUUCCAAAUUACCACCAUGGAUCAAACCCAAGUGCUUAAUAAUGGUGGUGAGAGAGAGAAGGGUGGAGAGAGAAAGUACAUGAAGAAGAGAAAAAUGAUGAUGAAGAAGAAGAAGCCUAUGGUUCCAUUGGUGACAGUUGUUUACAAGGAAGAAUAAUGGGAAGGGUUUAAACAGAGAUACAAAUCAGAUACUACGUACCACUACUUGUAUAUCAUUUCACUGAGCCUCCACAGCCUCCUAUAUUCUAUCCCGAUCUGUGGUUAAAUUAUUAAACAUUAAAAUAAAAGGUUCAACACCAAAUAAAAAACACCAUCUCAAUCACAAGAAAAAAGUCUGCGAACACAAGGAUCGAAAAGAGUAUCACACUCAAGACAUUGAAAUCUACCAACAAGUGCUUUUACAAAAAGUGAUAAACCUUAACCUUAAAGACCAAGUUUUGAAAGAAGUUGACGCCAUCUUGGAGUUUCUUCAUCAAAAAUGUAGGUCAAAGGAGACACCAGAACACCACUUCCUCCAAUCUGUAUGUCAUAUCAAUAUCAUAUUAUAUAAUAAUCGUACUUUCACUGAUUUGUUUAUUAAUUAUUAUAGCAUCCUACUUUUAUUUCUUCCUACUUACAACAACACUACACCUUGAAAGAUAUUUCAAAGUACAAUGCCUUUAUAAGAAGAAGAAGAAAAAUGUUGUUAUAGGAAGAGAUGGAAGUAGGAUACUAUACUGAACAGAUAGAUGAAAGCAGAUAGAAAAAAAAAAGUAAAAAAGUUGUGAGGACAUCUUACAGCUCUUAGCUGCUGAACGGAUUUGUAGAGUUGCUUUUUGGAGACACAAAUGACAAUUGCGUAAUAAUCAGCUUUUACCUUCCCAUCAAUUUUGCGGAAAACUGGACUUACAGUAGGCCCCUGCCAUAUACACAUUGGGUAAUAAAAAUAUUUAAGCUUUAAUUUCUAUUUGUUAACUAUUAUUAUUUCACUUUUUGUAAAUACAACUAAAGAAAGAAUAUAAAAAAUAAAAAACAAACCUGAAGUCCAGAUAAUGAUGGUUGGCUCAGAAUUCGCUCGGAUACUUCCUCUGCACUGCUUCCCCUCAUGUUGGCAACUACCUGCAACGUGUAUAUCACAGUGGCAACAAGGGUAAAAUGGUCAUUUACUCUCUCUUUCUUCAAAGAAGACAAUGGCAAGAAAGGUAAAAUCUUCAUUCACCGUGAAUUGACCAAGUGCCCUUAAAUGUGCUUCAAAUCUUUCAAGAAUUUCAUGUGUGAUGUCCAAUAAACCUUUGCGCCCAAGUAGUGACUUCUUACUAGCAACAAGGACAGCCUAUAAAAAAACAUUUUUUACUCAGAAAAAAAGAAGCAGAUUUAUAUUUAUAGAUAAAUAAUUAAAUAAAAACUUCACCUGACUUUCUAGAAGAACUCCGCCUUCAAUUUCUUUGAGAUUGUUCUCUUUCAAUGUGAUCCCACUACUAACAAGAUCCACAAUAGCAUCAGCUAUCCCCAUCUAAAUAAGCAACACAAAUAAUUUUAUCAUUAUAAAUUUAUAACAUAAUACAAUGUAGCUGAAUAUAUAUAUAUAUAUAUAUAUAUAUAUAUAUAUAUAUAUAUUAACUCUACUCUACACUGUUAAAUAAUAAAAAGCUCUUAAUAACCCAUAUAAGACUGUAAUAAAAACAUAUAUUUUCUUGUUAGUUUUAUAAAAUAGAAUAUUACUUUUAUAAAAUUUGUGAAAUUUUUGAAAAUAAUUGUGUCAUCAAUGUCUUACCGCAGGAGCUGCUUCCAGUGCCCCAUCAGCAGUUGAAAAAACAACAUGCUGAAGCCCAUUCUCUCUCAGAAACUUAGGACCCAACUACAAGAAAAAGAAAAAAAAAACAAUUUAAACUUUUUUGAUUUGAUUGAUAAUAGGAACACAAAUUAUAAUAGAAUGGUUGUUAGAAUGAUUACAUAUGUGAAACCAGUGGCAACUCUUAGAGGCUUUUCAGCAGUCCAUUGAGUCAUCUGUGCUAGUUCCUUCACUGAAUUAAUUUUCUCAAAAAUCCCAUACUUUGGAAUCUGUUAACAGCAUGAGAAAAAUAAGCCACUUAAAUCUUUUUUUUUUAACUGUAACUAUUUUAAUUUACUUUGGAAAAAGAGAAGUACUACUUACUGCAAGAGAUAAACGACAAUCUCCAUAUGCAAGUUCAUCAUGAACAAGGAUUAGAUCUUCAUUUCCCUAUCAAAAACAAUUAAGAGAUAAAACUUUACACAUUAGAAUAUUCAAACAACAAGCCCAGUGAGCAUGCUAAAGAAGAAAACAGAAAAACUUAUACAUAAUAAUAAUAAUAAUAAUAUAAGCCUACAUGUCCAUAUAACGUAUCUGGAUUUAUUUCCUUUUUACCAUGUUAUCCUUAUGAGUUGGUAAUAAUUACAUUUAUACAUAAUUAAUAAACAUAUGACUUAGAAUUUUGAAAAAUGUUGAUAUUAAAAGGUAUCCUCCGUUGAGGGGAUAUACCUUCUGUUUUCGUGUGAAAUUGUUGAUUUUAAUGUAAACUUUGUUUUCAGUUUUCAACUAUGAAACCUUUUGGAUUUCAUAUUGAAGAUUACUUCUUCAAGUAUUGUUGUUUUUGGGUUCACCUUUUCAGAAACAGAUUCAGAUAAUAUCCAGUAAACUGAAUUUAGUUGUCAAAUAUCUAAAAUCCAAUCGUAUUGCAACUGGAAUUGGGAUAUUGUGUUGCUAAUCAAAUUUGGCUCAUAUUGGGUAUUAUAAGCACAAAUAAGAAAGCCUAAUAAACAUGAGAGUUGCAUGAUACAUCAAAGUAAUCAAGAACAAGUCACCAGAUUUUCAAAGUAGAUUAUCCACCCAAUGGUGGAUAAAUACUGUUGGGUGACUCAUGAAAUAACAGUCUUACUUCUGUGUCUAGAAAAUCCAGGACAAGAUGCAUAACUUCUGCUUGAUGAAAUUGGUUGCAUUAUCAGCAAAAUAGGAACAAGGAUUACAUGCAAUUUUACCCAAUUUGUACUACACGCAUCCUUACUUUCGCAUAAUUAUUAGUAUUAUAUUACAAAACCACAAAUUUGGCACUCAAAUGUUUUGAGAAACAUCUGAGUUGCGUAGCUGGAAAACAUAAUAGUGCUGUGUACAAAAGAAACUAAGGAUAGUGAUGCUGUAUGAAUUGAACAGAGAAUGCUCUUAUCAAACUAGGUAAUGAGCUAUAACUAUACAGUAUAAUCUUCAUAUGGGGCUUCUUGAUUCUUACCUGUCCAAAUUCACUAACUGUGUCAAGACCAACAAUACCAAGAUCUAAAUCUCCUGAAACCAGUUUCCGUACGAUGUCUUUUGGGCGCUGAAACCAGACUUCUACAUUUGAAAGCUGCAAUACAGACAUAAUUCAAAUCCUAUCUGUUUCUGAACGGAGAUAGCCGAAGCUGUUUAGCAGAAACUACCAAAAUUGGUCGGAAAAACGCACCUGAGGAAUGUCUGCAACGUAUUGCCGAGGAUUAAGUUGCCUCACAGAUAAUUGACAAUCCUAUCAAACAUAAUGUAAAAAUCAGAUGAUAAAAUAAACACUGAAAUCAAAUCUUGGAAGAAAUUAAAUCAAUUGAAAUUAUUCCUUGUCUCAGGAAUCACGGAUAGAAAGAGUUACUUUGAGAAGAUCAAGCGUAUCGGUGGCCAUUCGACCUUUACUCGGCAAACCUAAUCUAAUCUCAUUCCUAUCUGAGGAUUGCAUGUCGAUGUUUCCAUUAACACUAGUCAUCGGCGACGAGGAUAAGCAACAUGAUACGGUGAAUCUGACGGAAAGUUUAGUAGACGAAUGUGAUGAUGGAGAAGGAAGAAACUGUGAGAAAGCGGUGGUGGCGGCGGGACAUUGCUGCAGAGAUGUUUGAAUAAGAGACAUGGCCGCUUCCCUCUGACCUCUCUUUCUUCUUCCGACGGGAUUUUGAUGGAGCAGAGACAACAGCAACGCCGCCGGAAGGGGUAGGUGGUGAGU
Lactuca sativa (garden lettuce) is the source of this 4109-nucleotide long non-coding RNA. RefSeq lists it as uncharacterized. The record is from RefSeq and is a predicted model, not a curated record. Lineage: Eukaryota; Viridiplantae; Streptophyta; Magnoliopsida; Asterales; Asteraceae.